UAGGGAAUCUUCCGCAAUGGGCGAAAGCCUGACGGAGCAACGCCGCGUGAGUGAUGAAGGUCUUCGGAUCGUAAAACUCUGUUAUUAGGGAAGAACAAAUGUGUAAGUAACUAUGCACGUCUUGACGGUACCUAAUCAGAAAGCCACGGCUAACUACGUGCCAGCAGCCGCGGUAAUCCGUAUGUGGCAAGCGUUAUCCGGAAUUAUUGGGCGUAAAGCGCGCGUAUGCGGUUUUUUAAGUCUGAUGUGAAAGCCCACGGCUCAACCGUGGAGGGUCAUUGGAAACUGGAAAACUUGAGUGCAGAAGAGGAAAGUGGAAUUCCAUGUGUAGCGGUGAAAUGCGCAGAGAUAUGGAGGAACACCAGUGGCGAAGGCGACUUUCUGGUCUGUAACUGACGCUGAUGUGCGAAAGCGUGGGGAUCAAACAGG
RNAcentral lists this ribosomal RNA (429 nucleotides) under Actinomycetes bacterium. RNAcentral describes it as "Actinobacteria bacterium partial 16S ribosomal RNA". It matches the Rfam family "Bacterial small subunit ribosomal RNA", at positions 355 to 776 of the family's 1533-position model. The record is from RNAcentral. Lineage: Bacteria; Bacillati; Actinomycetota; Actinomycetes.